CCACACUGUUACCAUUGUGACUGAGAAGGGAAUUACUGGCAAACCAUUGUUUGAACCCUAUAAAACCUGCUAAAUGAGCUCACUAAGAGACCUUCUACUGCACCCAUAACUAAAGAUUCAUAUUGUACAUUACAGCUUUUCCAUGGCAGGCAAGCAACAAGGGGUGAAAUUAUGCAGAAACUACAUUGUCCAUUGUCUCUGAAAGAGUUUCCAUUACGGCUGGAAUACACUGACCUGUGACCACUCUGUUCUGUGCAGUCUAAGGUGGUGGAGAAAAAGGAAUCUGCCUUCAAAAUCUGGAAAAGCCAGUGUGAGAGGCAGGAAAAAUGGAGUAGGUUGGGUGAACAAGAUGUGCUCCUAGAAUCACGUAGGAGAGACCAUGAAACAAGUACACAGAAAAUGUGAAAGAGGUGACAUGAAGUUACAACUUUCUGCAGGAAGGGGUAUUCUUAAGGUGUUGGAGAGAUUCUAUACCACCUGAGAACCUGCCCCAGAAGAAGGAAAUUAAGCCAGAGGUGUCACUGCUGAAAAGCCAACUAUAUUUGUUGAUUGAUUUUUUUAAAAUCAUUUUUUAUAAUAGGUUUUAUUGUUAUUAUUUGCUUUUGAUCUUUAAUCAAGAUGCUCUUUAGAUAGCUUAGAUAAGGUGCUUUUUUCAUAAAAACUACUUUUUCUGUUGCCUGAAAUUAAGAAUGUAGAGCAUCAGUUCAUCCACAGUGGUUUGGGGUUUUAUUUUUCAGGUAAUGAAUGCUAGCAUUUAUCACAAUUGGCUCUGGUUUAAAUAGGCUUUUACCUGUAGAUUUCUUUAUAUAGGUUGGCUUUUGACCUAGGUCUAACAAGACAAUGCCUACCAGGAAAGAAACACUUAUGGAAGCAAAAAGCACUGGUGCUGAGCCCUUUGUUGUUUUCUGGCAAAAGCUCAGAUACUAAUUUACAGGCUACAAGCCAGUCUAUGAAAAAUUGGAAUGAUAAUUUUUUUUUUUAAUGAAACAGCAGCUGGAACUGACAUCUUUCUGCACAAUAGCUUUAAUUUAGCUUCCUAAGGUAUUGCACCUGAAAAUGCAAAAGAGGAGACAUCAUCAUCAAUAAACUGGUGAAAAAUAUCCAAUUCAGAUAGUUUUUUAAUUCCCCAAAGUACUCAGUGUUAUGUGCCUAUUGAUAUCUGCCGGCCCUCCACAUACACACCUUUCUUGGAGUACAAGAUUCUCGUGUGGUUUGAUUUUCCCUUUCGGGAAGGAGCAAUAGUGUUCCAGCACCUCAGCAGGUGACUCUGAGAGCUGUGGGGUGUGGUUACCUGUGUGUAACCUGGCAGAGGGACCAGGGUGACACCAACCAGGGGCUCCCCAGGCAGGGACCUGGGGAUGCUCUGGGAUCCACUCUGGUUCCUGGGCUGCCCAUAACACAAAACAGAGAAACUUCACUGCUGCUGGCAGAAAUCUCUUGUUUGCCUCACACAAUCUGCCCAGCUUCUGCUGGAAUGUGUGGAAGGGUGUGUGGUGGCUGUGCCUGCUCCUUUCCUUUCCCAUCAUUGUAUUCUUAGAGCUCCCAAGAAUUUCAUCACAAUGAGCGAUAACUUUGCUAAGCUCUUUAUAAACCCAGAGUUCAUCCCUGCUCAUCUUAAUUUACAGUCAAGGUUUGUACUCCUCUGCACCAUUGCAUUGGGCACAGUGUGUUUUGUAAUUCUGAUUCUUUUACUGUAUUGAUCCCUCCCUUCAAAACUAAUUAUUUUUUAAAAUGUAUUUAUUUUUAAAUUUUUCUUGCUUUCUGGUAGAUAAUGUGAACAAACAUCAGCAUCCAUCAGCAUUAGCAGUUCUUCAAUUGAAUUUAAACAUGAUCUACAAAAUGCCUUGGCUCUUGGGAUAGGACCAGAUAUUAUUACUCCCAAAGUAUAAUUUUCACAUCCAUCUGUUCCUUCACUUUCCUGAAUUUUCUUUAUCCGUUUUCCCACAAAGGUGGCUUUGCCAAUGGCCUUUUACACAGCUUGACAUUGGUGUCAGCCUUUCCACUUGCCUAAAGCAGCUUUUGUUCUGGAUCCCAACACAAGACAAUGAUGUAUCUUGAGAGGAAUAUUUAAGGUGACAUUUGUAAUUUUGGUGGAAGUUUUAAUGCAACCUGCUUAGCACUGUGAGUUCUGAAAUACAAAAGAGCAAUGUCAUACUAGUUCUGAGCCUGUGUAUAUACAGUCUUAUGCUAAAUCAAUUCUAUCCAGCAUUCCUGUGUAUGCAGUACAAGCUCAUAAUGAACUCUGAAAAUUAUUUAAGUAACUCUGUUUCUGACCAGAAAUCACAUUAAUAGGGUAAAUGUUGUUUGAGUUACAGUUUUUUUGCUGUCCCUCCACCUCAUUUUCCUCUAGAAUAAACCUUCCUGCUUCAAAAUUAGACACAUUUAAAGAUUGCUCUUCAUUAGCAGCUAGGCUCAGUGUCUGUGUUCCAUGCACUUAGAUCUGGAGCAGUCACAUUGACUCCAGUACAUACUUAUGUGGGAGCUCUUUGUUGUCAUUCUAGGAAAUUCCUAAUGAUGAAAAACUGUUUUAAUACUAUAUUUUUUAUUAUUAGAUAGCCUGAGGGUUAGUCUAGGAAGUCAGUGUCCUGGAUAUAGCUUUGAAAUUCAAGAGAAUUGCAUGCAGGAAAUUAGAGAAAUACAUGAAAAUCAGCCUUCUCUUAUGAUUUUUCAAGCAGUAGCUGAAUACAAAUUAAGGUAUGGAUGCCCUUAUUCUGAGCUUCUCUUGAAGCAGCCUCUAAAUUUUUCUGCCUCAAAGUUGAAGUAAACUCUUCUUUCUUUUUAAACUCCCCAGUAUUUUUAAGCACUGAUCUACUUUAUUAUAAUGAUUUUAAGUUUAGUAAAAAGUACCUGAUUUCUUUGGCUUCUGUGAGUACUCCCAAGAAUGUUCCAUCUAAGUAAAUGUUUGACCUGCCAGUGUUGGUAAAAAAAAAAAAUCUCUUAUUAUUUAGUGGAAAGGAUCAACAGAUAUGUUUCCCAUUGCUUCAUUUGUUUCAGUGUGAUAGUUUGCAGAACGAUGUUAUAAAUGUAGGCAGCAAUGAAUAUAUUUGACUUGCAGCUCCAGUCUUAGGAAAAGGAAACAGAUUUUUGUUCAACAAGAGCAAUUAUUUCUGGCAUAAUAUAGACUCCAGUAAAUGAGAGUGGUGACAGACAGAUUGGAAAAUAAUUGGAAUAUUUACCCCAAAUGCAAAGAGGGGGUCUGGGUCAAGUGAGAGAUUUUCCAUUUCACAGAAUGUGCCUUCAGAGGCUACUGUGAGUUGGUUAUGUUGGAACUCAGUGCUUGGAGAGCUGUGCACGUGGGGAAGAGACCUUUGUGGUGCCCUACACAGACACUGCAGUCUUGUUAAAUAUGAUGCUUAAGCAAGGAAGGAAACACAAUUAAUGGGAACAAGUACAUUUAUGACAUGAACAGCAAAUAUUGGCCAGCUUUCUUCUGAAAGGAUUAACCUGGCUUUCACUGUACACUGCAUUUUUACUUAGAAAAGUGACAGUUCUCCAGUGAUUUUUCAUGCAGAUUUUUUUGACUGAACUUUAGCAAGAAGAGAAAAGGAAUGAGGAGUUUGUAUUCUCUAUCUCUUAGGUAAUGGUAGGAAGAAAGGUACUUUAAAGGCUACUUUGAUACUUGUGAAAUGGAAAUGUUUAAAAACAACUGCACAUUAUUUUAAAGAAAUAUUUUGUAAGCAUUUAUAGAAGGGACAAUUUUCCUCAGAUUCUGAGCUAUGGUCUUUUAGGGAGAAGGAAAGAGAAUAAAAAAGGAUUAAAAAUUUGGUUACAAACUAUUUUUAGUGGAGUAAUUUCUGAUAAUUAAGGAAAGUAAUUUAAUUUCAAACUCGAGUCUCAUCAAUCAGAAAAUCUGAGACUCCCAUUACUCACUGUGACUUUUCCAGCAGCAGAGCCAUUGUUUCACUCCCUAAACCGACUGUUACAAGCACAGUGUGCUGCAUCCUAAACUUUGUUAGGAAGCAUCACAGAAAAUACCAUUCCUGUCCUGCUGAAAAGCAGAGAUGCUCAGCACACUCAGGAGUGACUCAUCCUAACAGUGACAGGAGUGGGAAGUAAAAACUGGGGGAAUUUAACUGAAUUUGAUGCUCUCAUAUCUUGCAAUACAACUGAAUCUUGUCUGGAGAAUAUCAUCAUCAUCUCCUGCUAGGGAAGGAGGUUGAUAUUCUUCUAAUUUUCCCUUUUUUUCCUGUAGUCUACAGUCAGAAAAGCUGCAGAACUUGUUGGAUUUAAAACAGUCUGGAUGUUUUGAUAAAAACACUGCAACGUGAUGACAAAUUCCAUAUAUUAGGUGACAUGUUGAGUUGGAGGUUUUACAGCUAAACACAAACAAACCAAAAAUAAUUUUCAGAUUUUAACUUGUUUCCCUCUUAGAUCCUGCAGAAUAUGGCAUAACUUGUUCUUGACUUCAGUAUAGAGUUAUUUGGGUAUUUAAAGGAAAUAAGUGCCCUACAAAAUGAAUCUUGGUAUACUUUCCACCGAAAUCAGCUGGGUUUGGGCACCCAAAGAAGACAGAGUACGCUGCUUGUCGUGGUGAGGUUGUGAACCCAGAGGAAAUGGGCAUGGAGGGCAAUAAACAGCAGUGGUUUCUUCUACAAAUUGUCAGAUGGCUAAAUAAAUGCUUUUAUUAAGUAUUCUAAAAUGUAAGGAUUUUAUUUGUAUGAAUGACUCUUUAAAAAAUGCUUUUUGGAGGUCAUGCACCUUGUUCCUGUUUCCCUUCCAUUUAGGGAGAUCGGGGAAUAACAAGCAGAACCAUUUUGUGGAAUUUCUGGCGAUCCCAGAACCACCCUUACAGGACAAUUUAAAACAAAGAUGGCAAUGCACAGAGGCUGAUUAUAAGUUGUUAAAUUAGCUGGUACUUAGAGCAGUGCAGCCAUGGCAACCAGGAAUGGAGUGGACACCAAGCCCCUGAACUUGGGCAGGGUUUGUGGCCUGCAUUGACUCUGGUGCUGCCAUAGCAACGCUCCCCUCUGCAGAAAAGACAGAGGAUUUAAAGCCAACAGCAGCAAGCCUCCAUAAAUUACAACUUUGAAUUUUGUAAUAAGCACACUCUUAAAGAUGGUGGGUGUCCAGCAGCCAGGAGAAGGAGGCAGAUCUUUCUAGUUGGCUGCAGCAUCCAGAAGAUGUUUAUUGUGAUAAAGGAACUUAGCUGGUGUAGGUGUGCAUGGAGGAGGUUUUGUCCAGACUACAUACACAUUCCAGUUUUGAUGAUGAAUACUGCUUUUUGCUUGAUGAAAAUCACUCUCAGAUUGGUUGUUCUCCUUGGAUAGAUUGUAUUGAAUAUACUGACUUGGCAGCACUAUUUUGUGACGAGGUAAAUAUACCAGAAAACCUCAGGCUACAGUUCUGCACUUGUAAACUCAGGUGUUCAUAUAUGUUUUGAAGAAUAAUAGGUUAAAAUGCAGUUUAAGGAAAGUAAGAAAGUUUGGUUCUGUAAAUAAAAAUCCCAAGGCAUAAGACUGAUUUCUAUGUCCUGGAGUUCAUGAAGCAACACAAUUUUGUCUGAAACAGACCUGUAUUUCUUGUUAACCUGCUCAAAAUCUCAUAACCAUUUCAAGCAAAAAUGAUGUGACUGACGCAGAGAAUAGCUGCAAAUGAAACAAUUUCGUUGCAUUUUUAGUUCACAGGUUAUAAAAAUUGAAAUGUGGGGUUUUUUGAGGUUUUCCUAAUCUCACCUGGUAUAUUGAUUUCAUUCACAAUCAGGUGGGGAUGUGCCAACAGCAGCCACCCCAUUCCCCCUCUGGAGCCCUCUGGUCUAGCAGGGAGUGAUUCUCGGGGCCUCUCAGCACUGACAGCUUGUUGGAGUUCAGAGUUUGUCAGGAUUUUCUUUUCACAGUAUAUCCCACCUUCUGUGCUAAUGCAUUCCUGGGGACAUUCCAGAGUAUUUAACUCUGAGUAGAAUACAACAUUGAGUACCUUAUGCUAAUUUUUUUCCACCGUGCUCACUAAAUUGCAAGUGCUUGAAGGUUGGCCUUUAUCAUGAGGGUUCUAGGACAGAAAGCUAUUUUAUGAUUAACAAGUUUUGAUUUAUGUUAUUGAAGCAAAGACUAAAAUAAUAAAACUUAAGUAUAUCACACCUGAUAGUUGUUCAUUAUUAAUGUAUGAAUGACCAGCUAGGAAAGUAAGUGGCAUUUAAAAAUAAAGUUAUGUUCUGAGAAGUUAAUUAAAAUCCUGUUGAAUCUAAUUGAAGGAAAAAAGUAAUAUGAAACUCUGUGUUAAGAACUAUUAUGAAGUUUAGAGUAAUGUGUGAUCCUGGAGGCCUGAGGGGCAAAUUUACAAUUAAAAACUAAAUUAGAAUAAUUAGGUUUUUAUUAUGCCAAAUAAUAUGUCAGAGUUUAAAAAUUAUCAUCUGCUGCUCCAUGCCAAGGAUGGAAAUGGUUAAGUACCAAGGAAUAUGAAAGGAUAUUUUUUUUCUUUCAGCUUUCCUUUCUGUCCUAUGGAAAUAUUUUUUUUCCAUGAUGUCUCUACUAUGCACAUUUUAUUGUUACUUAUUGCUCAGCAAUGUCCUUGUGCUGCUUCUAACCCUGCUUCUCUGUACUGUGCAGUCUUGUCAUUUGUACAGAGCACAAGAUGUGGAAUCUUUUAAUCUGUGCUCUUUUAGAAAUGUUGUUAAAUGUAUUGAGUAUACACAUCACAUAUUUAAUUUGAAGUGGUGGCAAGAACACACUAUUUUGUAGGUACUAAGGGAGAAAAAUUAAACCUGCAUGUUGUAGAUGAUCUCUAUUGUUUUGUACAAGUAUAGUUUUAAAAAUGUUUCCACUUCUAGUCUUUGUUCAGAUAUCCCACAUUGUCAU
Molecule: long non-coding RNA, 6791 nt
Organism: Parus major (Great Tit)
Lineage: Eukaryota; Metazoa; Chordata; Aves; Passeriformes; Paridae
Exons: 4
Source: RefSeq, a predicted model, not a curated record